GAAACUGGAGGUUUAGAGAAAGUACGGAAACAUAAGCACCGUGGCGGACAACAGUGGAUCCUGCGUCAUCCGGGAAAAAAAUGGAGGACAAGAGACGCACGAACAAGGGUUAUCCUACUUGUUUUCCUUGGAUUUUAUAAGCACAUUCCACUGAUACCACAGAGGCGGCGCUGUGCUCGUGCACUCAACACUUUCUUAGUUAACACCGCCAAGCAACAAGAAAUAAAUCGUCACUAUGACACGGGGCGAAGCAACUCUAUAGCUCCGGGACUCAAGUAAGGAGUGUUAGAUGGCGGCCGUCUGGAAGGUGGGCUUCGGUGCUGGAGAAAGUUUCCAUGUCCGAGGUUAUUCGCAACAUCAUCACCAUGAAAAUGUGAUGCGCUUAAUCGCACCACCGCAUGAGACAUUGAAGAAUCAACUAAACUGUCCCUUCUUAUUGCGAUCCUCAUUUGAGAUUAGUGUUGUCAGAGUCAACAGCGACAGAAAUCUGCUCACCUGAUGCUGCAUACAUGACAAACGGCGGGUCAAAUGGGCACGAACGAAGCGAAACCCAGAGGGCAGGUCAGCAACGAUCUG
Ornithodoros turicata is the source of this 576-nucleotide long non-coding RNA. RefSeq lists it as uncharacterized. Lineage: Eukaryota; Metazoa; Arthropoda; Arachnida; Ixodida; Argasidae. The record is from RefSeq and is a predicted model, not a curated record. The transcript has 3 exons.